Molecule: long non-coding RNA, 1018 nt
Filed under: Homo sapiens (human)
Lineage: Eukaryota; Metazoa; Chordata; Mammalia; Primates; Hominidae
Description: HSALNT0342877
Source: RNAcentral
CCCCACUAGAUUAGCUAGACACAGAGUACUGAUUGGUGCAUUUACAAACCUCUAGCUAGACACAGAGUGCUGAUUGGUGGAUUCACAAACCUUUAGCUAGACACAGAGUGCUGAUUGGUGCAUUCACAAUCCUCCAGGUAGACAGAAAAGUUCUCCAAGUCCCUACCCGUCCCAGAAGCCCAGCCGGCUUCACCUCUCACUGGCACUCGCCUGUGGCGCCUAGCCCGGGCACUCCGGCAGCCCAGUUGGAGCUCCUCCCGCAAUCAAGCCCAGCAGCUGCUGGCCAGCCACGCCCAGUGUGGGGCCGCCAAGCCCCCGCCCACCCGGAACUCUUGAAGGCCUGUGAGCGCCACCAGAAGCCCCGGCUCCCGCAGGCGCCUCUCGCUCCACACCUCCACGCAAGCAGAGGGAGUCGGCUCCAGCCUCGGCCAGCCCCAGAGAGGGGCCCCCACAGUGCAGUGGCGGCCAGAGCGGAUGCCGAGGCCCAGGAGAGGCCGAGAGUGAGCGAGGGCUGCUAGCACGUUGUCACCUCUCACUAACACCAGAAGAGGUGGAGAUGGUCCAUAUUUACAACAUUUGUUGCAGACAAUGAGACAAAUUUAGUCCAUACUCCACAAAUUGCCAGAAGUAAUGUUAUUUGACCCAACAGGAGGGAGAAAGCGGAAUUUGUGUGGAGAGUAAGAUGCUGAUGUUUGGAUGUGCAGAGAAGAGUUUCCAUAUAGCAGGAAAAGCCCUUUUUCCUUUCUCUCCAGCUUGUAAGGAAGAGUCUAGAUAUUCCCACAUAGCACUAAGUUCUUCUAAGGGACAAUACUGGAAAAAGAAGAAAUCACAAGCUGGGUAAAAAGAUAUACCAGAGUUUAGUUUUGAGAAGGGAUGCAGUGCUUGAGAGAAGAAGCUAUCAUCCACAUGAACCAUGAGGUAAAGAGACAGAGAUUGGAUGGAGGAAUUUAAAAUAUAAUUCCUUUUUAUUAGUAAUAUUCUUUCUGUCCUUUGGUAUUUAUUAAAAUAUUGAGUAGAU